Molecule: long non-coding RNA, 727 nt
Filed under: Salmo salar (Atlantic salmon)
Lineage: Eukaryota; Metazoa; Chordata; Actinopteri; Salmoniformes; Salmonidae
Description: lncRNA (ENSSSAG00000104287.1)
Source: RNAcentral
GGAGAAAACACAACAUCUACAAAACCUAGAAGGACAACUCAACUGAUUUCAUUACAGUCUUGUCCCAUCGCUGCAACUCCAGUACGGACUCAGGAAAGGUGAAGGUCGAGAGCCAUGCAUCCUCCGAAACAUGACCCUGUCAAGCCGCACUGCUUCUUGACACACUGUUCACUUAACCCGGAAGCCAGCCGCACCAAUGUAUUGGAGGAAACACUGUACAACUGAAGUCAGUGUGCAUGCACCUGGCCCUCCACAAGGAGUUGCUAGAGCGCAAUGGUGCAAGGACAUCCCGGCCAGCCAAACCCUCCCCUAACCCGGAUGAUGCUGGGCCAAUUGUGCGCUGCCUCACAGGUCUCCUGGUUUCAGCUGGUUGCGACACAGCCUGGGAUCGAACCCAGAUGACUGUGACCUCCUCAGACCAGACCAGUUGGUAGUAUGCCCAGAACAUUGUUCUGAAAACCGAAAGGAUGAUCUCAGUUUCAAGGUCCCAGCUUUGAGAGAAGAAUCCUUGUUGGUCACAUGCAGGAACCAACAUGAAUAAUGAAUUAUGAAUUAUGUAAAUCAUGCUCAUAUGACUUGUUUGUGUAGCAGUAUAUAAGGACUGAGAGGGAACGCCCUUUUCAGAGUUUUCAUCAAGCUUCGAUUGAGUCUGUGAACCUCUCCGGCCGUGAUAAUAAAGAUUGAUUAAUUUACAUUGAGUUUAGAGAGUCCUUAGUGCGAAUUUCCA